CUUUGUGUUUGAGAGUAAGACCAAGAAAGCUCUAGAAAAUGCAGAGUGAAGAGCGAUGACCCCUAAGCUUGAGGUCAGGAAAGGAGUCAGAAAGGAGACAAGUCUUAAGAUGGAGGCUAAAGAACAUGAGAACUGAGAGUUGCAGGCAGGUGUGAAUAAUAAGCCUACUGAACUUUGGGACAUCUGGCAAAGACAUGGAGGUGGGAUGGACAAUGUGGAGUCCAGCCAACUGAAGUACAGGCAGCACGCUGGUGUGCCAGGUUAUUUAAUCUUCCCUUUUUCUUCCUCUGUUUUCACCUUUCAAAAAUAUAGGCAGCCCUGUGCUCGUUGCCUCAGGGCAGAAGUCACAAGCAACCUGGGACUCCACAGGACUUGUUUCCAAAUCUGAACCCCUUGGGUCUAGGGUAGAAUUCUCAGGAAAGGUAUUUUGGUCAUAAAAUGAAGACAAUAUUCUAGAAAGAAUGUUCCCUAGGCUGUAGAAGGGAAGACAAGCAGAGAAGCCUGGGGGUCCCAUGGCAGAUGCUGUUCAUAACAUGGCAGCUUAUUCCCCAUUUCCCAGGAAGAACCACCUGGAAUCCAGAAAGGAAAUGGAUGUAGUACAUCUAGGCAGGUGAGAUUCUAUGUAGCUGCCCAGAUAGAUUCCCAGCUACAGUCUGGAAGCAGCAGAGAGCCUCCAGGAAAAUGGAUAUCACGGUAGGAAGAGGUGUUGACAAAUGCUUC
RNAcentral lists this long non-coding RNA (720 nucleotides) under Equus caballus (horse). Its description in RNAcentral is "lncRNA (ENSECAG00000040150.3)". Lineage: Eukaryota; Metazoa; Chordata; Mammalia; Perissodactyla; Equidae. The record is from RNAcentral.